RNAcentral lists this transfer RNA (78 nucleotides) under Bradyrhizobium retamae. RNAcentral describes it as "tRNA-Gln". The record is from RNAcentral. Lineage: Bacteria; Pseudomonadati; Pseudomonadota; Alphaproteobacteria; Hyphomicrobiales; Nitrobacteraceae.
UUGUGCCUUGAAAACUAAGGAGAAAUCAGCGGAUUUUGAUUCCGCCAUUCGGAGGUUCGAUCCCUCCCGCCCCAGCCA